GUCCUUUGAUUUUGGGGAAUAUUUAAGGCAAGUGGACCUUUCAUACAUGCUAGCAUAGGCCCAUAAUGAGCCCGAAGGCCAAGCCUGCAGAUAGGGGAGGAGACUUGGAAUCUAAGAUGUUGGGCCGAGGUCUUAUUAGGUAGAAGGUGGUGUAAAAGACCACCUUGCCGAAGAUGGGAGGCUUAAUUUCAGCCCUGCUUUCACUGUAACAAGGGGGAGAUUCACAUAGAGGCAGCAGUAGAGAGUUUUGUGCAAUGCACGAAAGUAUGACACAGUGAGGAGACAUCUAAUUGAGCCUGUCAAAUUUAGUGCCAGCAGACGCGGUAAAACUAAAGGGCUGGUCUUUAUAACUAAAAAGGUGUAUAGGAUGUGUGGGCCCAGAAUUUAUCUAAGAAGGUUAAUGGAAGUUUUUCUGGAGCGGUGGAAUGUGGGAAUAGAAAAUAGAACCCCUAAGAGUAAAACUAUUUACUACCAAAUAGGCUCAAACAUGAGAGCGUGGGUGAUAAACAGGAUUAGAGACCCUGGUAGUCCACCCUGUAAACUUUGAAGAUUAUGCUAAACAUACCCGAAAGGUAAAAUCUUCCGCCUGAGUAGUACGAUCGCAAGAUUAAAAUUCAAAAACUUUGGUUGUUCACUAUUUAGAUUAGAGGAGCGUGUGGUUUAAUUCGAUAGUCCGCGUGUAACCUUACCCCAGCUUGAAUCUAUGACUGGUAUUGCAUGGCCGUCGUAUGUUCUUGUAUGAAGCGAAAAGGGACCCAAGCCGGGUUUAUCCCGAAGGAAGUCAGGUAUUAUGAUCCAAAUGUUGGGGGGCUUAAUGCGCUACACUUUUUUAUAUAAUAAGAGACUUGAAAGGUAAGUCUCUAAAGUAAGAGUUCGGAAGGUCCCUGUAAAACGAUUAAAAGUUGAAUUUAAUAGUAAUCGGAAAGUAGUGCGUUCCGGUGAAUAGGUAUAAGUGCUAACACAAAUUGCUCGUCACCUCUUCUUAGAAGGGCUAUUUGAACGCCUUGAGUGACUACAAAAGUCUUUAAGGAAGAGUAAGUCGUAACAUGGUAAGGGGGGGGUAACUUCCCCUUG
RNAcentral lists this ribosomal RNA (1074 nucleotides) under Alicia sansibarensis. Its description in RNAcentral is "12S ribosomal RNA". It matches the Rfam family "Bacterial small subunit ribosomal RNA". Lineage: Eukaryota; Metazoa; Cnidaria; Anthozoa; Actiniaria; Aliciidae. The record is from RNAcentral.